UACGGGGGGGGCAAGCGUUGUUCGGAAUUACUGGGCGUAAAGGGCUCGUAGGUGGCCAACUAAGUCAGACGUGAAAUCCCUCGGCUUAACCGGGGAACUGCGUCUGAUACUGGAUGGCUUGAAUCCGGGAGAGGGAUGCGGAAUUCCAGGUGUAGCGGUGAAAUGCGUAGAUAUCAAGAGGAACACCUGAGGUGAAGACGGGUUGCUGGGCUGACACUGACGCUGAGGCGCGAAAGCUAGGGUAGCAAACGGG
RNAcentral lists this ribosomal RNA (253 nucleotides) under uncultured bacterium. RNAcentral describes it as "partial 16S ribosomal RNA". It matches the Rfam family "Bacterial small subunit ribosomal RNA", at positions 524 to 776 of the family's 1533-position model. The record is from RNAcentral.